Molecule: ribosomal RNA, 395 nt
Filed under: uncultured bacterium
Lineage: Bacteria
Description: bacterial SSU rRNA
Rfam family: Bacterial small subunit ribosomal RNA
Source: RNAcentral
GUGUCAGCAGCCGCGGUAAUACGUAGGGGGCGAGCGUUGUCCGGAUUUAUUGGGCGUAAAGGGCGUGUAGGCGGUCUUGUAAGUCGGGGGUGAAAACCCAGAGCUCAACUCUGGGACUGCCUCCGAUACUGCGAGACUUGAGUGCUCUAGAGGGCAGUGGAAUUCCCGGUGUAGCAGUGAAAUGCGUAGAGAUCGGGAGGAACACCAGUGGCGAAGGCGACUGCCUGGGGAGUAACUGACGCUGAGGCGCGAAAGCUGGGGGAGCAAACGGGAUUAGAUACCCCGGUAGUCCCAGCCGUAAACGAUGAGUGCUAGGUGUGAGGGGUAUCGACCCCCCUCGUGCCGGAGUUAACGCAAUAAGCACUCCGCCUGGGGAGUACGGCCGCAAGGUUGAA